UCAAAUUUGAAAUCUGGCUUCGGCCCGAGUUGUAAUUUGCAGAGGAAGCUUCUGGUGCGGUGCCUUCCGAGUCCCCUGGAAUGGGGCGCCAUAGAGGGUGAGAGCCCCGUAUGGUCGGCCGCCUAGCCUGUGUGAAGCUCCUUCGACGAGUCGAGUAGUUUGGGAAUGCUGCUCAAAAUGGGAGGUAAAUUCCUUCUAAAGCUAAAUACUGGCCAGAGACCGAUAGCGCACAAGUAGAGUGAUCGAAAGAUGAAAAGCACUUUGAAAAGAGGGUUAAACAGCACGUGAAAUUGUUGAAAGGGAAGCGCUUGUGACCAGACUUGCGCCGGGCUGAUCAUCCGGUGUUCUCACCGGUGCACUCUACCCGGCUCAGGCCAGCAUCGGUUUUAGCGGGGGGAUAAAGGCCCCGGGAACGUAGCUCCCCCGGGAGUGUUAUAGCCCGGGACGUAAUGCCCCCGCCGGGACCGAGGACCGCGCUUCGGCAAGGAUGCUGGCGUAAUGGUCAU
This 506-nucleotide ribosomal RNA is filed under the name uncultured Cercophora. RNAcentral describes it as "LSU rRNA". It matches the Rfam family "Eukaryotic large subunit ribosomal RNA", at positions 109 to 641 of the family's 3401-position model. Lineage: Eukaryota; Fungi; Ascomycota; Sordariomycetes; Sordariales; Lasiosphaeriaceae. The record is from RNAcentral.